UAAUCCCUAAAGUUCAAAUUUUUUUCAUUUCUUCUUUGCCCCCUUUGAACCCCUGACGGUUGCCUCACUCUCUUUGCUCCUCUCUCUCUCUCUCUCUCUCUCUCUCUCUCUCUCUCUCUCUCUCUCGGCCUCCCCGAAUUGCCUUAAGCUUCCCAACCCCAGCCAAUCCCAUGGGCCAUAACCCACAACCUUUUAAAGCAGCUCAAUGGAGAGCCAAAAUUUCUUUCUUUUCCUGCUUUCCUGAAGUAAGGCAAAGAUUCCAAGUCUCUCAAGGAGGAGAUGCUUGAAGCCAUUACGCCUUUGGAUUGUGGAGUAGAUUCCACUGUCGAAGACCAGCAAAGUUGAUCUAGUUGGAUUGAAUUCUUUUUCUACUCUUACAUUUGAGAAAGCAGACCAGUGGAAGCUACCCUCUGCAACGACAACAACUUCAAAGCUUUUUGCCCUGGUCAGUGUUCCCAUGAUCCCAUGAUUACAACUCUCUCAUCAUGCUUCUUUCCUUCCAGUUUGAUAACAUCAGUUAUUUAUAUCUAUUGCCAACUUCUAGAGUGCUUGUUUUCUACUUUUUAUGUUUUCUGGUUUCAUUAGAGGUCAUGAUAAAUGCUUAUGAGUUAUCACCAAAGCAUGGGAACCGGUCAUUUCUAAACUGAUUAGGUGGCAUAGACUAGGCCAAAACUUAACUUAAUUGAUCUUCUAACACAAGUGAAAACGUUUUUUUAUCACUAAAACGUACCCUUUUUGCUCCUUUUAUCCCUUUCAUCUUCUAACACAAGGAAGUUUGUGGAUAUCAUUUAGUAAACUCUGAUCAACAUGGAAGAUGCUUUGAGAAGCGUUAGUAAACUCUGACCCAAUUUACUGAUUUUUUUUUCUUAAAGCAUUUCAUACUUUCUGAAGAGCAUGAGCACCUCUUUCCAAGAAUAUGAUGAUGUUUCCUCCUCUAUCUCCCUGCUGGAGAAAAGAAUUUUCAAGAAAAAUGUUUGCCUUAGAAUUUCUUAGUUUGUUCUGCAUAGCCAGAAUUUUGCUUUCCUUUUUAAUGGUUUUUACAUGUAUGAUAACAAUGAGUUUUGUAUGGCUAUAUUAACUUGAGCAUUUUUUAAAAGGUGAGGAUUCGGUCUUGGAUGAAAUUGUGUGAACAAAAUAGGCUAGGUAUCCUUUGAUGGAAGAGUCGUUGUAGUUGAGGAUGAUUCACAUGCUAUAAGUAGGAGUGAGCAAAGCAUGUCAAAUCAAAUUUUUAUGUUGUUGUAAUGUGAAAUCGAAUUGAUCAAUUAAUUAUGAUGAUUCUACUCGAGGGAUCAAAUAAUAUAGCAUAAAUUUGUGAUUAGAUAAUAUAGCAUCAUCUAUGUGCAUGCUAAAUAUGCUUUGAGAUUUUGACAAUAUUUAGCUGUUUGCAAGUUGAGAGUCCCCGGAUGCUGCAUUCAUUGCAAAAGAAUGUGGCAGCUAUUGGAGUUGCACUCCAGGCUUUGUACUAGUUAUGAUGUUUGUAGGGUGCCUUUUGCGCAGGAUUUUUAAAACUUGACAGUUACAGAUUUCUCUGAUUGUCAAUUUCUAACAAGCAUCUCAGACCUUUCAUUUGAAGGAUAAGACUCAUUUAGUUGGAGUUCACCAUUCUAUUGGAUUGCUCGAUGAGCUUGUUCCUUUCAAUCUUAAUCAAUGCAAUAGCCUUAGGAAUCUUCCCAGAAGGCUGAAGUUGAGAUCUUUAAAAUCACUUGACCUUGAAGAUUUUUCAAGCCUUCAAAGCGUUCUUGAAUUUGAUUGUUCAAUGGAAACUUUAGAAUACAUUAACCUUUCCUACUCUGCUUUCAAAGAAAUAUCUCCAUCCAUUGGGCAUCUCACUGGGCUUCGGGUUUUAUAUUUAGGAGGUUGCCAAAACCUUAUGCAUAUCUCAAAUUACAUUCUUCAAUUACAGCAGAUAAAGAUGCUUUCUCUUGGAGCUUGAAUAUGAAAGAAGGUGGAGGGUAAAGGAUAGUGUAGUAUGCAUUUUGCUUUGUCUACAAAUGAAUAUGAAACUUCAUCAAGUGGAGAAUCACUCUCAUUGCCACAUUUGAAUCAAAAUCAGGUCUCUUUAAGGCAGUAUAGUACUUUGGUAGUUUGAAAGAUACUAUUAGUCUUCCCACAUCCAUCAAAAGUGUUGUUGGAUUAAAGCACCUUGUGUUGACGGAUUGCCUGCAACUUUAAGGAAUUCUAGAGCAUCGAUCCAAUAUAGAGCAGGUGUGCUAAUGGAUCAAUGGAUCUUAUUGGAAAGCUUUCCAGAAUAUAAAAAAAGUUCCAAUACAAAAUCAGCAACUUAAGAGCACUUGGAUAGAUUGAAUUGCUCAAAUGUCAUGACAUGGACAUCUAAAUGACUAUUUGGCCAUUAUUCUUUCAGGAGAUACGAUUCCUGAGUGGUUUAACCACUGUAAGGAAGCUUCAAAUAAUACUGAAUCAUGUGAAAUAGAUAUCGAUGGGAGUGAUCUAUAUUUGGAUGAGCUAAGAGGAAUAGCUCUUUGUGCUGUUAUUAAAGCAGAUUCUGAAAGAUCUGCAUUUGAUCUCUUCCAUUUUCUAGUGUUGUUGAGAUCACUAUUAACAUGCGCACAAAUAAUAUAAUAGCUCGUUGUGCUGUUAUCAUAGGGAGUACUAAUUUGCUCUAGAGGCUUUUAAGCCAGACGAGAAAGGUCUGAAAUGUUGAGUUUUCUUGUAAUUCAAGCUCAUUAUACAUUAAAAGUUGCGGAGUCCAUUUGGUAUGUAAGCAUGUAGAGAACACAAAAGAUCAUUUAGAUGUCCUCUACCUAUGAAUAUGAUUACGACUUAAAUCUGACUGCCAUUGACAACACAACAUGAAUGACCAUUCUAAGUUUUUCUUCAUUCAUUACCCAAAAUGCUUGUUUUGUUCUUUUUUAACUUUCAAAUCUCUCACCCAAAACUUUAAAAUAUACAAAGCUAGUUUUGAUCUUCAAAUUGGACCCUAUAAUAAUUCCUACUUUGUGUUGGCAUGCAUAUUAAUUAUGUAUACAAAAUACUAAAAAAAACAUGCACUCUUUAUUUUUCCUUUUUUCUUAGGAAUAUUGCUUGUCAUAUAUACCACCAUUUGCUCAGAAACACACAGCUUGGUCUUGGGCCCUUGGCCAUUUUCACUUAGGAUGGUGAAAGCUAAUUAGUCUAACUUUAGUUUAGACAGGUGAUGUGACCUUCAAGGAGCAUGAUCUCGAAGAUAUUGUUCUAGACUAAGAUCAAAGAUUAGGGAGGUUCAACUAGAUCUACAAAUUGCCUUCAAGGAACUUGUACCAUAACCAAUAGAGGGUUGAUCCUACAGGACUUUAAUUCAUUUUGAGCAUUUUAUUUCAGCAUGCUUUUGGUUCUAAAUAAUUAUAAAAUGUUUCAUCUAUUGAUUUUA
Carya illinoinensis is the source of this 3367-nucleotide long non-coding RNA. RefSeq lists it as uncharacterized. The record is from RefSeq and is a predicted model, not a curated record. Lineage: Eukaryota; Viridiplantae; Streptophyta; Magnoliopsida; Fagales; Juglandaceae. The transcript has 4 exons.